Molecule: ribosomal RNA, 303 nt
Filed under: uncultured bacterium
Lineage: Bacteria
Description: bacterial SSU rRNA
Rfam family: Bacterial small subunit ribosomal RNA
Source: RNAcentral
UGGGGGAUAUUGCACAAUGGGGGAAACCCUGAUGCAGCGACGCCGCGUGAGUGAAGAAGCAUUUCGGUGCGUAAAGCUCUAUCAGCAGGGAAGAAGAAUGACGGUACCUGAGUAAGAAGCCCCGGCUAACUACGUGCCAGCAGCCGCGGUAAUACGUAGGGGGCAAGCGUUAUCCGGAUUUACUGGGUGUAAAGGGAGCGUAGACGGUGAUGCAAGUCAGAUGUGAAAGCCCGGGGCUUAACCGCGGGACUGCAUUUGAAACUGCAAUGCUGGAGUGCAGGAGAGGUAAGCGGAAUUCCUGGU